Molecule: non-coding RNA, 120 nt
Organism: Oryza glaberrima (African rice)
Lineage: Eukaryota; Viridiplantae; Streptophyta; Magnoliopsida; Poales; Poaceae
Source: Rfam
AUAGGUGCCGGUUUUUUAAAAAAACCCGACACCUUUAAUAUAUUAUAGGUGUUGGUUAAUUAAAAAUCGGCACCUAUAAUAAAUUAUAGGUGUCGGUUUUUUUUAAAAACCGGCACCUGU